GACGAACGCUGGCGGCGUGCCUAAUACAUGCAAGUUGAGCGCUGAAGGUUGGUACUUGUACCGACUGGAUGAGCAGCGAACGGGUGAGUAACGCGUGGGGAAUCUGCCUUUGAGUGGGGGACAACAUUUGGAAACGAAUGCUAAUACCGCAUAAAAACUUUAAACACAAGUUUUAAGUUUGAAAGAUGCAAUUGCAUCACUCAAAGAUGAUCCCGCGUUGUAUUAGCUAGUUGGUGAGGUAAAGGCUCACCAAGGCGAUGAUACAUAGCCGACCUGAGAGGGUGAUCGGCCACAUUGGGACUGAGACACGGCCCAAACUCCUACGGGAGGCAGCAGUAGGGAAUCUUCGGCAAUGGACGAAAGUCUGACCGAGCAACGCCGCGUGAGUGAAGAAGGUUUUCGGAUCGUAAAACUCUGUUGGUAGAGAAGAACGUUGGUGAGAGUGGAAAGCUCAUCAAGUGACGGUAACUACCCAGAAAGGGACGGCUAACUACGUG
RNAcentral lists this ribosomal RNA (497 nucleotides) under uncultured bacterium. Its description in RNAcentral is "partial 16S ribosomal RNA". It matches the Rfam family "Bacterial small subunit ribosomal RNA", at positions 28 to 507 of the family's 1533-position model. The record is from RNAcentral.